This is a long non-coding RNA of Athalia rosae (coleseed sawfly), 604 nucleotides long. RefSeq lists it as uncharacterized. NCBI's taxonomy places the organism in Eukaryota, Metazoa, Arthropoda, Insecta, Hymenoptera, Athaliidae. The transcript is spliced from 2 exons. The record is from RefSeq and is a predicted model, not a curated record.
AUGUAUUUACGCGAGUUCUUAUCUACGAUACUCAAAGUGUCCGCAGCAUUCGAUAUCGGGAAUCCGGAUUAUGUCAAUUAAUCAGUUGCACCACUUCGGUCAUUUGUAACGUCGAACCUGAAAUCGAUAAUCCAACGAAGCCAGGCGGCGUUUCGUAUUCACCUGCGGGAAUAAAUUCGUACGAGAUGAAAGGAUAAAAUGUUGGAUCGAUUAAUUUCCAGUUGAUUGUCCACCGGAAAAGGACGAUAAGCUCCGAUGGGCUGCGAUAUUGCGGACCAUUUCGCGGAUCGAAAUACGAUUAAGGGUCGGUGUUUAUGGGGAAACCGAUAUAUACGAUACGACUCUGCGCCGUGCAAAGAGGGUGCGGAAGCUAUCGCUGCUGCUGGUACAUAACGUCGGAAAAGUUUCAGCGGGAAAUAUACAAAAAAUAUGUUUCCAAUUAGCGGUGGAGUCCAUGCAGCGAAAGAAUAAAAAAAAAAAAAAAAAAUAUAUCGACGUGCCCCUUUGAACGGAAAUAAAUAUAUAUCCGCGUACACGUGUAUGCUACCUGAGUUUCGUGCACAGCGAACAAGAAGGGUGAAAUAUAAAAAAUAAUAAUUGCAAA